GGACUACCGGGGUUUCUAAUCCUGUUUGCUCCCCUAGCUUUCGCUCCUCAGCGUCAGUACCGGCCCAGAGUGCCGCCUUCGCCACCGGUGUUCUUCCUGAUAUCUGCGCAUUUCACCGCUACACCAGGAGUUCCACACUCCUCUACCGGACUCAAGUCAUCGCAGUAUCGACGGGCCUCUUGGGGUUGAGUCCCAAGCUUUCACCGCCGACUUACGAAACCGCCUACGAGCUCUUUACGCCCAAUGAUUCCGGACAACGCUCGCCCCCUACGUAUUACCGCGGCUGCUGGCAC
Molecule: ribosomal RNA, 293 nt
Filed under: uncultured bacterium
Lineage: Bacteria
Description: partial 16S ribosomal RNA
Source: RNAcentral